Long non-coding RNA from Cyprinus carpio carpio, 334 nucleotides. The record is from Ensembl. Lineage: Eukaryota; Metazoa; Chordata; Actinopteri; Cypriniformes; Cyprinidae.
GGAAAGGCGUGUAGGGCGUGUUCUCUUCAGACGUACAGCAUCUCCGGCGUUCCUGUCUGCAAUAUGACUCGUUCCUUGAUUUAAUUAAGCACGAUGGUCUCGUCUGGUUACCAGCGCGACUUUGAUGCCUGUGGCACAGAUUGCAGCUCUUUGGCCUGUAAAGCGAGGUGUGCUCUGAUUGGCCAGCUGUCCAGGGCCACGAAUCAGCUCUAGGCAUGACGAAGCGGAUAUCAUGCUCUUUUGGAAGGCUAACCAAAGUAGUUUCACUUUCACAAUGAAACACAUAGCUUCUCCAUGAAAUGGCGCAAGCGGCAACAGCGAGAAUAAAAGGUAC